GGGGGGGGGGGGGGGGGGGGGGGGGGGGGGGGGGGCGGGCGGGGGGGGGGGGCUGGCUCCUGGGGGGAGGGGCGGGCGGGGGAGGGGUGCGUCGGACGCGGCCUGGGAGUGGGGGGUAACGGCCGGGAACGGGCGCUAAUCCCGCGUACGUCCGGAGGGAGCAGGUGGGGGAGCUCCGGCCCCCCCGCUACCCCAUGAGCCUAGGCCGGAUUAGCUAGUUGGUGGGGUACAGGCCUACCAAGGCGACGAUCCGCAACUGGUCUGAGAGGAUGAUCAGUCACACUGGAACUGAGACGCGGUCCAGGCUCCUACGGGAGGCAGCAGUGGGGAAUAUUGGACAAUGGGCGAAAGCCUGAUCCAGCCAUGCCGCGUGUGUGAAGAAGGUCUUCGGAUUGUAAAGCACUUUAAGUUGGGAGGAAGGGCAGUAAGUUAAUACCUUGCUGUUUUGACGUUACCAACAGAAUAAGCACCGGCUAACUUCGUG
Molecule: ribosomal RNA, 484 nt
Filed under: uncultured bacterium
Lineage: Bacteria
Description: partial 16S ribosomal RNA
Rfam family: Bacterial small subunit ribosomal RNA
Source: RNAcentral